CAGCCGCCACGGUAAAACCAGCAGCCCAAGUGGUGGUCGCGUUUAUUGGGCCUAAAGCGCUCGUAGCCUGACCGGUAAGUUCCCCGUGAAAUCGGGUCGCCCAACGAUUCGGCUUGCGGGGAAUACUGUCGGUCUUGGGGCCGGGAGACGCCGAGGGUACUCCGGGGGUAGUGGUGAAAUGCUGUAAUCCUCGGGGGACUACCAGUGGCGAAGGCGCUCGGCGAUAACGGGCCUGACGGUGAGGGGCGAAAGCUGGGGGCGCGAACGGGAUUAGAUACCCCUGUAGUCCCUGUCUCUUAUA
This 301-nucleotide ribosomal RNA is filed under the name uncultured bacterium. Its description in RNAcentral is "partial 16S ribosomal RNA". It matches the Rfam family "Archaeal small subunit ribosomal RNA", at positions 459 to 759 of the family's 1478-position model. The record is from RNAcentral.